RNAcentral lists this ribosomal RNA (222 nucleotides) under uncultured bacterium. Its description in RNAcentral is "partial 16S ribosomal RNA". It matches the Rfam family "Bacterial small subunit ribosomal RNA", at positions 15 to 244 of the family's 1533-position model. The record is from RNAcentral.
GAUCCUGGCUCAGGAUGAACGCUGACAGAAUGCUUAACACAUGCAAGUCUAUUUUUGAUCCUUCGGGUGAUGGUGGCGGACGGGUGAGUAACGCGUAAAGAACUUGCCCUGCAGUCUGGGACAACAUUUGGAAACGAAUGCUAAUACCGGAUAUUAUGUGAGUUUCGCAUGAAAUUCAUAUGAAAGCUAUAUGCGCUGCAGGAGAGCUUUGCGUCCUAUUAG